CAGGGAUUGAGAGUGUUUUCUCCUUUCUGGAGAUCUAUUUUGUCAUUACUUUAGCUGACAGCAGCUGGGGAGAAUAAAACACUUUGGUUAGCCUCAAACACCUGGCUAAGUUUCCCUAGGUUGAAGCACAGCAAUGUUUUAUUACAGCUGACACCAAUCAAGGCAAAUGGACAAAAGUGAGCAUUUUGAUUUUGGGAUCCAUGAAAGAAGGGGAUAAGUGAAGUGAAUUUGGACUCGCUGGACGAAGGAAGGGCAGGUCCUUCCCCAGCCCCUGUUGCUCUAAAUCACCUCAGAACAUCCUCGUGAAGCACUGAGCCCCAGGAAAACAUUACAAGGCAGCAGUGAUCAGCCUCGAUGGCCAGCCACAACAGCACGAUAACAGCCCUUCAGCCAUCGACGCAUCCUUAAAGGCAUCACUGGGCAGGGGAUUUUUAAAGCAAGAUGUGAUGAGGCUGAGCUCAGUUCUAUGGCAGCAAAGCCCCUGCCAUCAGAGGAGCAACCCCAGAUUAACAUCGGUGGGAAUCAGCCCUGCAGCACCGACAGGGAGCCACAAUGGGGCUGGAGCAAGCAUCUGUGUUGACUUGCUCGUGUGAAGAGGAGCGGGAAAUGUUUGCAAUGAAAUGUGAAACUGUUUGAAAUUCACGGUUUGUCACAGCCCAUUGUGAAUUCAGGAACAGGCCCUUUUUUUUCAAAGGAAUUUUUUUGUGAUGGCAUAUUAAGAAAAAACAGGCCACUUUCUAGUAAAAAUGGCGAGAGAAGCAAGCCUGCUCCUGAGUGAUGCUUUGAUAAUAUGAGCCCAUUUUCCAUGGCUUUGGCAUUAAAAAUACAGAGAAGCACACACUGUCCAAAAUCUGCACAGAAAACAACCGUGUUGUCAAAGCUGUGAACAAAGGGAAAUGGGAGAAAAGAGGAGAAACUCAUUUAUAUCCUUCUUCAGGAGAACACUACCUAGAUAUCUGCUUGUGUUAGGGAAUCUCAGGACUUGGUCCACGUAUUUGUGCACUGGAGAAGGAAAGUCCUGAGGGCUACACCCAGGUCACAGCAGGUUUCAGUGCUCUGACCUAGCAUUAAGCUGGUUGGUUUCUGUCAAAGAAUUACACCGGUUUUCCUGUUCGCUCCUGUGGUAUUAAUAGCAGCAAAAUCAAGUUGCCAGCAAUCCCCACGCCUUGUGCAUCCGAACCAACCCCACAUUGCUGUGCUACAGUGAUUGAAGUAUGGGGAUUUGUUUGGGAGGAUAAAGCAAAACCUUGCUUUGUUUUCCUGCUGUCCUAAAUUUCACCCAAGUAGCUUUGCCUCAGCGCUUUGAACUUUGCAUAGCUCUUUGAAAUUAUAAUAGGGGGGAAAAAUUAAGGAAAAAAAAAAAAAAAAGCGUGUUUUUUGUUUGUUUGUUGUCCCAAAAGCAGGAGAGGGCCUUGCUAGAGCUUAACCCCUGAGCCCCCCGGACAGUGUGGGGCAGGGGAUGCAGGAGGCACGGGGCACUCCUCGGGUCCUGCCGGUGUUUGCGUGACUUAACAGUGACAUCCAGCGGUCACCGGGCUCCGCUGUCUUGUCCCGGUGCAAGCCCAGCCAGACCUCGGAGCAUCAAAUAAUCUUCAAAUCAUCCCGCUUUUUCCUCGGUUUUAUAACCCCGCGUGUUUGCAGUAUCGAGAAUAUUGUUCAUAAUUAAGCUUCGAUAAAUGUAAAAAUAAAUCAAAACCCUGUUAAACAUUGAAUCGCAGAAACUUUUCCUUCUAGUGGUUAUUGCCCUAAACAGAAAAAUAAGCAGUUUUCAUCUCAAGUUUAACAUUGCAGACAUAUCUUCACAUGAUAAUUUGGUUUUCAAAAAAAGUCUAACUGUGAAGUUUAAUGAUACCACAUGAAGCAGCUUGUCAGUUCAUAUUUAUAUUCAAAUCUGAGCCUUCACAGUUCCCAGUGUGUUUCUUUAGUAUUUUGUUGAAGAUAUUCUGACAGUCUUUCUCAAAACUGUCUCUGGGAGAAGCAGCAUGAAAACCUGCAAGGAAACAAAAAGCUUCCUACACUUCUGGCUCAGGGUUUUGAUGCUCGAGGAGGAGACUUCUAUCUCCCACCCACGCGUGAGGCUGAGGCUCGGAGGCUCAGACACUUGGCUGCCGCAGCGCAGCCCUUCUGGCUGUGCCUUUCAUGUCCUACGAGUGAUGGGCAAAGGACCGGAGGAGUCUCCUGAGGUUAAAUAGAUGGAAAUUCGCAGCAUGGGAAGCUGCAGCCACCAGCACCUCUCAAUCCUCCCAUAGAGGUCAGGUGCCAGUCCAGGGGCUCCCCUCUGCUCUUUCGGUCUCCCCAUCCUGGCUGCAAGCCCAGCUGGUUGUGUAUAGGAAGAGGAAGAGGAAUUUGGCUGUGGGUUUCCUCACGCUGCUCUCAGCACUGAGAUGGAUGCAUUCUCCAGCCUCCUGCCUUCCAGGACCUGCCUUAGCACAGGUAGCAGAGCCUGAGCCAUUACUCAUCAUCUGCUGCUCGGCGGUGAAGAAUGGAGGUCACUUCCCUGCUGACAGGGCUUGGAGAGAGGAGGUCUUCCUCCUGCCCUCGUCCUGGGUGGGGGCACGUCACCCAGCCCAGACUGGCUGCUUUGUUUAAAGGAUUUCUGUCUGCAUAAAAGCCACACGCACUCCAAAUGGCUCCCCUGUUGCUCUCCAAACCCCUUCAC
This is a long non-coding RNA of Anas platyrhynchos (mallard), 2659 nucleotides long. RefSeq lists it as uncharacterized. The record is from RefSeq and is a predicted model, not a curated record. Lineage: Eukaryota; Metazoa; Chordata; Aves; Anseriformes; Anatidae.